CGUACCCUUCGGUUCGGAAUAACUCAGGGAAACUUGAGCUAAUACCGGAUACGCCCUUUUGGGGAAAGGUUUACUGCCGAAGGAUCGGCCCGCGUCUGAUUAGCUUGUUGGUGGGGUAACGGCCUACCAAGGCGACGAUCAGUAGCUGGUCUGAGAGGAUGAUCAGCCACACUGGGACUGAGACACGGCCCAGACUCCUACGGGAGGCAGCAGUGGGGAAUAUUGGACAAUGGGCGCAAGCCUGAUCCAGCCAUGCCGCGUGAGUGAUGAAGGCCUUAGGGUUGUAAAGCUCUUUUGUCCGGGACGAUAAUGACGGUACCGGAAGAAUAGGCCCCGGCUAACUUCGUGCCAGCAGCCGCGGUAAUACGAAGGGGGCUAGCGUUGCUCGGAAUCACUGGGCGUAAAGGGCGCGUAGGCGGCCGAUUAAGUCGGGGGUGAAAGCCUGUGGCUCAACCACAGAAUUGCCUUCGAUACUGGUUGGCUUGAGACCGGAAGAGGACAGCGGAACUGCGAGU
RNAcentral lists this ribosomal RNA (515 nucleotides) under uncultured bacterium. RNAcentral's name for it is "bacterial SSU rRNA". It matches the Rfam family "Bacterial small subunit ribosomal RNA", at positions 125 to 674 of the family's 1533-position model. The record is from RNAcentral.